UGAAACGUUGAGGAUGCUGCAUGCUUUAGUAUUUGAAUGACUUAAUGAAGGACCUUGACCAUCUCAUGCAGUAAAGUAUAAGAGGAUGUAGCGAGUGGUCUUGUGCUCUCUUCGAGUUACCUGGUUCUGAGCCAUGUCCGGGAGAGGGUAUUGGACCAGCAGGAUUGUGAGCUUUGCCACAUGUCAGGGGGAAGACAUCCCGAUGUCUGCCGUUGGGCCAGCUGUGUCAUACCUUUACACCAAGCGCCAUGUGUAACGGUCGUUCGCUUUACUUAACCCACGCAGCUUUCACAGUUCUGGAUGUAUACAUUUCUUCGAUGGAAAUUGGUUUGCUGGAUCCCCUUACUAAGGAUGUCGUAAACUGGGCCCAACAAAAUGAUCUUACUAAAGCCGGAUCCGAAUGGGUUCAAUUCUUCACUUCACUGGAUUCAUCCCGCCUCACUUCAGGCACGUAGCCUAGAUGUCUACGUCAGGAGCCCCUCACUCACGUAUUCCACGGAAAACAGGAGAGAGAGUUGAAUCUCCAUUUGGAGGAGCCUGUUCCUCUCCAUUAACUGUAACAAGAAACCCAGAACGAUUGGACACGUCACAAAUGAUCCUUGCCAAGUGCCCAAAGUUGGGCAGGAUGAAUCAAAGCCCGUGUACCAGGAUCAGCUUAGUGCUGCUAACAGGUACUGCGUCUGUCUGUCUGCCGCUCUCCACAUAACUAGGUUUCCAUUUUAUUGCAACUUUCAGUAUGAUUUUGAUUAGUAGAUUGAAAAAACUAAGCGUAGGGAAUGAAACGGAGAAUAAAGUCUUUGGGUUACCCCUUAAUAAAACUUUUGCAAUAUUAUGAUGUAUUGCAAAAUGAUUUGGAUAAUUCAAACUAUGUGCGUAGUCACUGCUAGCCCUGACAGCGAUCCAGCUGUCGUGACGCUUACUUAGAAAAGUAUAAAUACAAGAGGAAAAUUUAUCAUGUUAGGAUGUUCCUUAUGUUUUAGAAGUAUUUUUUUUUAGAUACUCAAAAAGUGACGCUCUUGAUGCAAGGGUCCUUCCUGUGUACUUAAUCACAGCUCUAAAUGGGAAGGUAUUUAACAUUUGAAAAAAUGUCUGUUAGACACAGCCCGAGACAAUUUGUUCUCCCUUAUCGAAUUUCCUAAGUUUUCUGUGAAGAUUAUUAGCAGAUGAAAUUCUGCAUGCUCGGGAAUAAUCCCGCUCUUAUCCUUGCAUACAGAGCUAUGUAUCUUUCUAUGUCAGAAAGAGGUAAGAAUGCAUAGCUUACAAAGCAAGAAGUAGACGACCUUUCUGUUAUAAUAAUUAAUGUCAACGAUCAUGGUUCUUAACACUGAAAUUGGGUCAAAAAUGUUGUAUCAUAUGCUGUUUACUGUUUUCAUAAAACACCAAUCUCUGUUCCUUUUGCCAGAUAAGAUUUCCAAGCUUUACUUUUUUAAAAGCGAUUUUAAUUUUUACCCCUAAGGUUUCUCUCUUGGUUGAAGACACUGGUAUGGGAUGAGCACAACAAAGAGGGAGCAGUUCGUUACGCUGCGAGGAGUUCUGGCUUAGGCCAAGGGCCGGGUUUGGCGCGCUUUCGCCGUGCUGUCCUCUAGCAGGGGAGAAGCUAAUUAAAGGGGAGGGGGUGAUGAAGAAUUGGAGCCAGAGGGAGAAAUCAAGGUUUAUCAGCGACGGUCCUUUUUACUCCAAAGGUACUGUUUUCUUCAACCCUGUAAAAAUGAAAUGUUUUUCACUUUUCAAAAUACAUGGUGGCUCUAGGAAGGAACGAAGCUGUUGGCCACCAGUGUCUCACAAGUUAAUACAGGUUGCUCAGAUGUAGAUUGGGGAAAAACAUAAGAGAGUAAAUAGAUUUUUCAUGUUGCUUUUGAAUAGUGCUUUUUCUUUUUCCCUUUAAUCUCCAGUCAGUAGGAAGCCCAGUUUCCAAUAAACAUAUUUACCCCAGUUUGGUGCGUGUUUGCAGGGUUAUGUGAGGGUGGAGCUGUUACUCUUUAUGGGCUGAAAAAGUAAGCGUAGGGAAAAGAAUGAACUAAUCAGAAAUCAUUCUAGAAAAAAAUGGAAUAACUGAAAUAAUUUUAGUUUUCCGGUACAGUCAAAAUAAAGUAUGCGCUACCCUUUCUAUCAGCUGA
Molecule: long non-coding RNA, 2117 nt
Organism: Gymnogyps californianus (California condor)
Lineage: Eukaryota; Metazoa; Chordata; Aves; Accipitriformes; Cathartidae
Exons: 4
Source: RefSeq, a predicted model, not a curated record